UCAAGUGAAUAAGUGCAUACGGUGGAUGCCUAGGCGACAAGAGGCGAUGAAGGACGUUGUAGCUUGCGAUAAGCUUCGGGGAGGUAGCAAACAACCUUUGAUCCGAAGAUUUCCGAAUGGGGAAACCCGGCCAUUUUUAAUGGUCACCUUAUACUGAAUACAUAGGUAUAAGGAGCGAACCUGGGGAACUGAAACAUCUAAGUACCCAGAGGAAAAGAAAUCAACCGAGAUUCCCUUAGUAGCGGCGAGCGAACGGGGACCAGCCCUUAAGCUCUAUUUGUGUUAGUGGAACAUACUGGAAAGUUUGGCCAUAGUGGGUGAUAGCCCCGUACACGAAAAUGCAUUUAGAGUGAAAUCGAGUAGAUCGGGACACGUGAUAUCCUGAUUGAACAUGGGGGGACCAUCCUCCAAGGCUAAAUACUACUUGUCGACCGAUAGUGAACCAGUACCGUGAGGGAAAGGCGAAAAGAACCCCUGUUAGGGGAGUGAAAUAGAUCCUGAAACCGUAUGCAUACAAGCAGUGGGAGCACCUUCGUGGUGUGACUGCGUACCUUUUGUAUAAUGGGUCAGCGACUUACUUUCAGUGGCAAGCUUAACCGUUAGGGGAGGCGUAGGGAAACCGAGUCUUAAUAGGGCGUCAUAGUCGCUGGGAGUAGACCCGAAACCGGGCGAUCUAUCCAUGGCCAGGGUGAAGGUGAGGUAAAACUUACUGGAGGCCCGAACCCACUUAUGUUGAAAAAUGAGGGGAUGAGCUGUGGAUCGGAGUGAAAGGCUAAACAAGCCCGGAGAUAGCUGGUUCUCCUCGAAAUCUAUUUAGGUAGAGCCUCGCAUAUCACUGUUGGGGGUAGAGCACUGUUACGGCUAGGGGGUCAUCCCGACUUACCAACCCGUUGCAAACUCCGAAUACCAACAAGUGCAAUUGCGGGAGACACACGGCGGGUGAUAAGGUCCGUUGUGGAAAGGGAAACAGCCCAGACCGUCAGCUAAGGUCCCAAAAUGAUACUCAGUGGAAAACGAUGUGAAAAGGCACAGACAGCCAGGAGGUUGGCUUAGAAGCAGCCAUCCUUUAAAGAAAGCGUAAUAGCUCACUGGUCAAGUCGGUUUGCGCGGAAGAUUUAUCGGGGCUUAAGUAUCAUACCGAAGCUACGGAUGCGUGUUUACACGCAUGGUAGAGGAGCGUUCUGUACGCCUGUGAAGGUGAACCGAGAGGUUUGCUGGAGGUAUCAGAAGUGCGAAUGCUGACAUGAGUAACGAUAAUGGGGGUGAAAAACCCCCACGCCGAAAACCCAAGGUUUCCUGCGCAAUGCUAAUCAGCGCAGGGUUAGUCGGAACCUAAGGCGAGGCCGAAAGGCGUAGUCGAUGGACAACAGGUUAAUAUUCCUGUACCGCGUAUAACUGCGAUGGGGAGACGGAGAAGGCUAGAUCAGCAUACUGUUGGAUAUGUAUGUUUAAGCAUGUAGGGCGAGUUCUUAGGUAAAUCCGGGAGCUCAUUAAACCUGAGAUGUGAUGUCGAGGACUCUACGGAGUCCGGAGUGAUUGAUGCCAUGCUUCCAAGAAAAUCCUCUAAGCUUCAGGUUAUAGGCGUCCGUACCCCAAACCGACACAGGUGGGUGGGAUGAGAAUUCUAAGGCGCUUGAGAGAACUCUGGUGAAGGAACUAGGCAAAAUGGUACCGUAACUUCGGGAGAAGGUACGCCCUCUAGGUGACGCGACUUGCUCGUUGAGCUCAAGAGGGUUGCAAUAAAAUGGUGGCUGCGACUGUUUACUAAAAACAUAGCACUCUGCAAACUCGUAAGAGGAAGUAUAGGGUGUGACGCCUGCCCGGUGCCGGAAGGUUAAUUGAUGGGGUUAUCUUCGGAGAAGCUCUUGAUCGAAGCCCCGGUAAACGGCGGCCGUAACUAUAACGGUCCUAAGGUAGCGAAAUUCCUUGUCGGGU
RNAcentral lists this ribosomal RNA (1935 nucleotides) under seawater metagenome. RNAcentral describes it as "bacterial LSU rRNA". It matches the Rfam family "Bacterial large subunit ribosomal RNA", at positions 3 to 1977 of the family's 2925-position model. The record is from RNAcentral.